Molecule: ribosomal RNA, 346 nt
Filed under: Acinetobacter calcoaceticus
Lineage: Bacteria; Pseudomonadati; Pseudomonadota; Gammaproteobacteria; Moraxellales; Moraxellaceae
Description: bacterial SSU rRNA
Rfam family: Bacterial small subunit ribosomal RNA
Source: RNAcentral
GCGCAGCUAACGCGAUAAGUAGACCGCCUGGGGAGUACGGUCGCAAGACUAAAACUCAAAUGAAUUGACGGGGGCCCGCACAAGCGGUGGAGCAUGUGGUUUAAUUCGAUGCAACGCGAAGAACCUUACCUGGCCUUGACAUAGUAAGAACUUUCCAGAGAUGGAUUGGUGCCUUCGGGAACUUACAUACAGGUGCUGCAUGGCUGUCGUCAGCUCGUGUCGUGAGAUGUUGGGUUAAGUCCCGCAACGAGCGCAACCCUUUUCCUUAUUUGCCAGCGAGUAAUGUCGGGAACUUUAAGGAUACUGCCAGUGACAAACUGGAGGAAGGCGGGGACGACGUCAAGUC